Molecule: long non-coding RNA, 333 nt
Organism: Girardinichthys multiradiatus
Lineage: Eukaryota; Metazoa; Chordata; Actinopteri; Cyprinodontiformes; Goodeidae
Exons: 3
Source: RefSeq, a predicted model, not a curated record
CGGACACAGAGGAAGGCAGGCGGGAGGUCUAGGGCAGUGGCGCAGCUGAGAAAGAGAUCCCAAGUGGUCCACGGGUCUCUCAAUGAAAUCAGCCUUGGCAGAGCUGCAUCAAUCCGAAUGAAACACCCGCUGCAGUUACUGAGUGGUGCUGAAUAAAAACCAUUGGCCGAGGGGACAGUAAGCCUUCGGAAAGGGUGCAAAGAGGGAAUCCUAACUGCCUAAGCAUGAACAAACGACUACCAAUCCUUGCUGACCCAGUCGACUAAACCCUCCACCGGACCUCCUCUUGGGUCAUGGCUCCGGUGUCACAUGUCAGCAAACAAGAAAAGCAUA